Mesocricetus auratus (golden hamster) is the source of this 2787-nucleotide long non-coding RNA. RefSeq lists it as uncharacterized. The transcript has 3 exons. The record is from RefSeq and is a predicted model, not a curated record. Lineage: Eukaryota; Metazoa; Chordata; Mammalia; Rodentia; Cricetidae.
AAUUAACAGUAAGCAGAGUGAGUGAGACAGUUGGAAUCCCCAGCAACUCUGAAUUAAGAAGCUGGAUACUGAAGAUCUUCUUUCUUCAUGAAGUUUAAGAUGCAUACUUCAUUGUCUUUAACCACAGAAACAAUUUAUGUGGAGACCUUUUCAGCUUGGAGCGAUGGGCCAUAUAUUUGCUGGCCUCUCUGCAGCAGAAUAUGUGGAGUCACAGGAUGGGUAAGUCUCAAGGUCACAGGACAAAUCAGUCUUCCGUUUCCUUUCUCUCCUUAAUGUUAUUUCUCCCAGAAGAAAAUGAAAAGCUUUAAUAAAAUAAUUACUAAUUAAAAAUUUGGGUUUUUUGUAUUUAAUUUCUAUGACCAGAAAGAGAUUAAUGCAGAUAGUAUAGGCCUAAACAAAAGAUAUUUAGAGAUAUUUUGGAAGUCUCCCUUAGACAGAAAAUUCAAUAUAACUAAAGUAUCCGGGAUGGUUGUGUUUUACAGUAAUAAGUAAUACAAUAAAAUCUGACCUUGAAUUUACACGGUGCCAUUCCUCUCCAGAUUGCAGAAUUCCCUUAUGAAAAUGAUCCCAAAUAUUAGUGAUGCGCUGGGGAGGACUUAUGCUAGGGGACUCAUGUUCAAAGUAGGUCAGGACAACUAAUGAUUAUUCAUACCAAGAUGCUAUAUGAAUUGGCAUAGGGCUCUUUCACUCCUAUGCUCCCCCGCAGCCUUUGUCUCAAUGCACUUAAUUCCUUGGUGUUCAAAAAUAUCAUAUGCUAGGCAGAUCACUCUGUUAACAAAUCUAUAAGCUGGGUGUGGUGACACACACUGUUAAUGUCAGCACCUAAGAGACAAAAGUAAAUAAGGAUCUGUGAGUGUGAGAGCAACUUGAUCUACAUAGAAAGUUCCAGAAUAGCAGGCCUACACUGUGAGACCCCGUAUAAAAAAUAAGUAUAUAAUACAUAUGACCCAUGUAAUGUUUCUAGCAAGAUAAAAUAAAUAAAUGGGAUAUGCCUAUCUGUUAUCUAAAAGAUACUCUUCAUUUGUGAUAUUAUAUUGAGACAGAAUAAAAGUAAAGAUUUUUUUCUCUGAGCCACUAAGCACAAGCAAGUUUUUGUUUUUGAAACUCUUGCUUAAUUCUCCCUGGCCUUCAUUCCAACUAGAGGAGCAUAUUAAUUACUCUCAUUCACUGUAAGUUUAGACCUAUUAAUAAAUAAUAAAUCUAAUUUUCUCUAGAGCAUGUAAUAACUUUUAAGUCUUUCCAAGAAGAAGAUUCCCAUUGUCCUCUCAUCUGGAGAAACUAAACCAUUGGCUCCGACGGAUGAUGCUACUCUAAUGAGCACAUCAUGUCUGCUGACUUGUUAGAGCUCCUCAACAAUCCCUCACAUUCAUCAGGAAGGAGAAUGCUCACCCCAGGCAUGGGUGCUAGAAACCUGGUUCCUGUGGAGAAUUGUGGAGGAAUUUUGCAUGCUAUGUACUUCUCUUCAAUUUCAUCUCACUUCUUUAGUUUGAGGUCAAGUCCUAAGUCAAUUAAAUUACUUCUUUAAAGCCUCAGAAUCCAAAGGAUUUUUUUCUCAAGAUUCAAGAGACUGCUGACCUUAGAAUAGCUAAGUAGAAAUGAAGUUGUGUUAACAAUAAUGAAUUGAGAACUGAAGAGGGGAAUGAGUGAGUUUUGUAGCUGAACAAUCAGCAUUUGAGAAGCAAAAAAAAAGAAUAGUUACUUUACAUUCUCAUUUCAUUAUGCUUUAUAAAUAUCAUUAAGCAUAGUUUUGUUACAAUGAAGUAUCUGUCAUAUUUAAGUCAACCAAGUGCCAGUAGAAAUCUGACUAUCAAAGAAUUUAAGGGAGGUAGAUAUUGUGCUUGGCUGAAAAAAAAUGGAACAGAAAGUUGGAUGCCUAGGGUUAUAUCUUAAAAAAGGGUAGAAAUAGUAAAUAUUAUCAGAGCACACUGUACAAAAAAUGGAAUGAAGUUGUUGAAGCUGUUUUAUCGUAUCAGAUCUUGACCACUGGAGUGUAUUCCCAAUGAGUAAGGAUGUAGAAUACUUUUUAUUUGCUUUGUUUAAACUUCUAAAAUAGUGUCAAAAUUCCAGGAUUCCUUGGUGAAAUGACAGCUCAAACUUUGACCAGAGGUCAAAUAUCAUGGCAGAAUCUUAAUACUUCCUUUAAAUUCCUCUUAGUGGGAAAACAUUGUGUGUGAUUUUGUAUAUGGGAGUUGCUGUUUCUACGGAUGCUAACAGGUUUAUAGUGAGGUUGUCAAAAAAGAAAUUCCUCAUUAAUCAACUGUAGCCCAUUUAUUCCUUCUGAGGAUACAUGAGACAAUACUACAUUUCUAUCACUUGGACUUAGAAUUAGCGGAAGUUGGCUCCUACUCUGAUUUUGUGCAGGAAGAAGCUGCCAGCUUCCUUCCUGUUGCUGUCACAAGGCUCUCCUCUCUCACUUCACCCUUAGGAUAUGUCUACCAAAAAGAUUUGUUUCUGACAUUUAUUUGCAUACUCAGAAAUUAACUGCAUGUUCAUAGAUAUUAUGUUUAUAAAGUAUGAAAUUCAGAAUAUACAGAAAAUUGCAAAGACUAAACAAUCUUCUUUUUAUACUUAGCUGCCAUCUAGAGUCUACCAUAUCUAUAUUCAAGUGUUGUUGCCUUCGUCUUUGGUAACUUUUGAAGAACUUUCAGUGCAUUUGCAAGCAUAAAUGUAUAUGAGAGCAUAUCCUCCUUUGUGUAUAUUUGUGUAUGUGUGAUUAUUAUUUCCAAACAUUAUACAGUUUUCAAUAAUAUAAGUGUAUAAUUACAAACAUUUAUUUUGAAGAUUUUC